AGCAGACACUCUGACGGCAGUAACUAUGGUGUGAGUAGAUGGAGUGAUAAGGUGACUCAAGAAUAUAGGAGAAAUAAGGAUGAACACUCACACUCUGCUGUCAGCAACAUCCACAGAAUUAGUGGAUAAAUGUUAGGAGAGAAAGAAGUUCAAAAGGCAACAAACUCUAGCCAACAUGGAAGUCUAAUUUGAUAAGGAAACAGCAGCUACAGGAGUGAUUGAUAUACAAUCAAAAUCUAUCUAUAGGAAGCACACAAGAGCAGAAUUCUUAUGCACAAUGGAAAAGACCAUCCACAAGGAUAAGGAUAAGACUCAUCUUCCUUAUCCUUGUAGAUAAAGUAGAGAUGUAAUGUAUACCUAUAUAAAUACAUAAGAAAAACUCAUUCAGUAGUAAUUUGAGAGAAAGGAAUUAUAGUGCUCACGUUAAUAAAACAAACAACACAAUUGUUGUUGUUCUGUCCUCUUUCUCCAAAAUAAUCUCUGCAAAUUUAAUUUUUCUUCUUGGUAUCAGAGCUUGUGUGAGCACAUUCUAGCCAAACAACACAAUGACCUCACUUUCUCUCAAUGUUGGUAACUUCAUUACUCUCAAGCUAAAUCCAACAAAUUACCCUUUGUGGCGUGAAUAAGCACUGGCACUAGCAAAAAGCCAGGAACUUAUCGGCCACCUUACAGAUGAAGAACCAUCCCCCACCAAAUAUACCACACAAGAUUUAACCACCAACACAGAACACUCUACACCAAUGCUAUCUAAUGAAUACAUCUCCUGGCGCAAGUCAGAUCGACUUCUACGAGGAUGGAUCAUUGGCACUCUAUCAGAAUAAGCCCUCAGCAUUGUUGUUGGAGUAGAAAUAGCAUAUGAUGUCUGGGAAGUACUCAAGAAUGCCUAUGCAAAAGACUCUCAAGAAAUAGAGUUUACUCUUCGCCAACAGAUGACAUACUUCCGCAAACAUGAAGACAAAAACAUGGAUGAACACAUUUGCAGAUUCAAAAGCUUGUGUGAUAGUCUUGCUGCAAUAGGAAAACCAAUUCCUGACAAAGAAAAGGUGUUUUGUCUCCUCACAAGCCUUGGUCCACAAUAUGAAACCUUCACCACAACUAUGUUGAAACCCCCAACACAACUAUGCUGAAACCCCCAAGACCAACCUAUCCAGAACUAGUAUCCCAUCUUCAGAACUUUGAUCAGAGAUGCAGCUGGUUUUUGUCUCAAACAGAUAUUGCACACACACACAGAGUCAUCAACAACUUGCUUUCUAUGGACAACAUCGUCAACAACGCUCUCAACAACCAUCCUCAAUCUAUCGUGGUAACACAUCAAAAUUCACUUCAAAUGGGAGAGGCUUCCAAGCACAACAAUACAGGGAACACAAUAGAAUCCCCACCACAGCAGACACACAACGACGUCCUCCACCCCUAGGAGAACAUCGGAUGACACAAACAGAAAGAGACAAUUUUCGCAAUGAAAAAUGUCAAUAUUGUGGGACAGAAGGCCACAUUGCCAAGAUAUGUUGGUAGAUACCGAAGAAAUCUUUCAACAAUGAAGAAAUCCCACACGCACUUGCAGCUUUAACUAUGGACAACACUUUAGCAGAAACAAAAUGGACAACCGAUACAGGUGCCUCCAACCAUAUGACAGGACAAUCAGGUAUGUUAACCAACCUUCGUAAAUAUAAGGGAGCUGACUCUAUAAUUAUAGGAAAUGGAUCCUCAAUACCAAUCCUUGGUAUUGGGGAUACACAAAUUAAACAGCAGAAAAUUGCUUUACCUCUUCGAGAUGUCUUAUUAGUCCCUACGCUAACGAAAAAUUUACUAUCGGUAAGUCAGUUGACUAAGCAAUUUCCUGUUAACUGUGAGUUUUCUAACGUUGAUUUUUGUGUCAAGGAACGAAAGACAGGACAACCAGUAAUCACAGGGACUCGCAAGGGUGAUCUUUAUGUCCUUCCGACUUCACCAAAACUAUAUUUCUCAACAAGAUUUAGAACAGGUUCUGCUGAAGUGUGGCACCAGCGUCUAGGACACCCACAAUUCUUAGCUUUACAAUUGUUGAAAAUAAGGGCUUGAUAGAUGUAACGGGAACGUUGAAAUCCAAGCAUCUAUGUGAUAGUUGUCAAUUAGGAAAAUUGAGCAGAUUACCGUUCUCAUGUUCGGAAAAUUCUAGCACUGGUAUUUUUGAUAAAAUUCAUUGUGACUUUUGGGGACCUUCUCUUGUUUUAUCCAUUGGUAAAUUUCGAUAUUAUGCAUGUUUAGUAGAUGAUUUUUCGAAAUAUACAUGGAUUAUAUCCUUGCGACAUAAGUCUGAUUUUGUGAAUGAAUAUUUUUCCUUUGAACAAUAUGUUAACCUGCAGUUCAACAAAAAGAUUAAAAUUUUCCACUCUGAUGGAGGUGGAGAAUUUGUCAACUCCAAGCUUACAUCUCAUUUCCAUACAUCAGGUAUUAUCCAUCAAAUUUCAUGUCCAUAUACAUGUCAAAAAAAUAUUAGUCUCACGUCAUGUUGUCUUUGAUGAAACAAUGUUUCCAUACAAACCAUCAACCACCAUUCAGCCAUCAUCACAUACAUUUAAAAUCUUUGACACAUGGAUACCUCACAUUUCUCAAAGUGUUUUAGGAAAUAUAGAGAACAAGGAAACAACCCCAAGCUGCAGCCCUCUGCCAGGAAUUACACAGGAGCAAAAUACACCUGCCAUACAGCUUCCCCAAGACAGCAGACUACAACCAGCGGGGUCUCCUGCACCACCACAGGGACAGCAGUAACAGUGUAUCCUGUAACAGAUCGUGUAGCAGCAGAAACAAGCUCUGAAGCAGCAAUAGAGUUUACAGCAGCAGAUUCUACAGUAGAAGCAAUGCUAGAAUCCAUAACAGAUGUUGCAACAAAUCUCACAGCAACAGGGAUAAUAACAGAUCCUACAGUAGCAGAUUCUCCAGCAAUAACAGACUCUACCCCAAUCGUGACAGUCUCCACAAUAGACCCUGCAAAAAUAGCAUCCGAGGCAGCUACAACUCAUCACCCAAUGAUCACUCGUUCCCAAUCAACAGAACAGGCAAAAUCCUCACGAGCAGAGCCUACAUCAACAAUUCUACAACAGUCUCAAGGAUAAGACUCUCACACUAUGGUUACACGAUUUCAACGUGGAGUUGUAAAACCAAAUCCAAAGUAUGCCUUGACAUCCAUAGCUUCUCAAAGUGUACCCAGGGAACCACAAAAUGUUCAAACAGCUCUGGCUCAUCUUGGUUGGAAAACUGCAAUGGAAGAAGAAUUUGCUGCUCUACAGUUAAAUCAGACAUGGACCCUUAUUCCACGCACCCCGGACCUACAUAUAAUUGGCUCUAAAUGGGUGUUUAAGACAAAACUGAAACCCGAUGGAUCCUUAGACAGACUAAAGGCUCGUGUUGUUGCAAAAGGGUAUUAUCAGAUUGAUGGAAUUGACUAAACUGAAACCUUCUCUCCAGUUGUCAAACCGGGCACCAUACGAAUGAUUAUCAGUACAGCACUAAUUCAAGGAUGGCCUAUUCGACAACUUGACGUAAAGAAUGCCUUCUUGCAUGGUAACAUCACUGAAGAUAUAUACAUGGAGCAACCACCGGGAAUGGCAGACUCACAACAUCCAGAAUAUGUCUGCAAAUUACAGAAGGCUCUCUAUGGUCUCAAACAAGCUCCAUGUGCCUGGUUUGAUCGUUUCAGCACUUUUCUUCUUGAAUAUGGAUUUAUCUGUAGCCUAGUUGAUCCAUCUUUAUUUAUCCUUCAUUCUGAACAUGGCUUGCUAGUACUUUUACUUUAUGUAGAUGAUAUGUUGCUCACAGGAUCUACAGAGGCCCUUGUCAGCAACUUCAUUCAACUCCUAAGUGGCGAGUUUACCAUGAAAGAUUUGGGACCUAUUCAUCACUUCCUUGGAAUUGAAAUCUACAAAACAAGGAGUGGACUCCACUUAUCCUAGUCACACUAUGCAUUGACUAUACUUGAACGUGCUACAAUGACAGAUUGUAAACCUAUGAGCACACCUCUUGAAGCAAAAACAAAAACCUCCAUAACUGAUAUCCCUCUAGAAGACCCUAGCCAUUUUAGAGGAUUAGUUGGAUCACUACAGUAUCUCACUCUCACACGGCCAGACCUUUCAUAUAGUGUUAAUUAUGUGUCACAAUUCAUGCAUGCACCAGCAAUGACACAUCUAAAAAUGGUUAGACAAAUUCUACAAUAUGUGAAAGGGACACUUAAUAUAGGUCUACAUUUUUCUGCCAAUACUUCACUUGAUCUUUCUGCCUUUUCAGAUGCUGAUUGGGCAGGAUGCCUCACUACUAGACGUUCCACCACAGGAUACUGUGUUUUUAUGGGUAAAAACAUCAUUUCCUGGUGCGCAAAGAAGCAACAUACAGUAUCGCGUUCUAGCACUGAAGCCGAAUAUCGUGCAAUGGCCAAUACAGCAGCUGAGCUUACAUGGUUAGCUUUUAUUCUAAAAGAUCUCCACAUUCCAAUGACAUCUCCUCCAACACUCUAUUGUGACAAUCUCAGUGCUCUUCAUAUGACAAUCAAUCCUGUCUUCCAUGCCAGAAGCAAACAUAUCGAAUUAGACUAUCAUUUUGUGCGAGAGAGAGUUGCCCUUGGACAACUGAUCACCAAACAUAUCUCCACUAAUGAACAAGUUGCAGAUCUCUUCACAAAGCAAAUGUCAAAGGCAGCCCUCACAAGUUUUCAAAACAAACUAUGCCUUCAACCCAAGCAUAGUUUGAGGGAGAGUGUUAGCAGUAGACACUCUAACGACAGUAACUAUGGUGUGAGUAGAUGGAGUGAUAAGGUGACUCAAGAAUAUAGGAGAAAUAAGGAUGAACACUCACACUCUGCUGUCAGCAACAUCCCCGGAAUUAGUGGAUAAAUGUUAGGAGAGAAAGAAGUUCAAAAGGCAACAAACUCUAGCCAACAUGGGAGUCUAAUUUGAUAAGGAAACAGCA
RNAcentral lists this long non-coding RNA (4938 nucleotides) under Populus trichocarpa (black cottonwood). RNAcentral describes it as "long non-coding RNA (PTRI_LNC000751)". Lineage: Eukaryota; Viridiplantae; Streptophyta; Magnoliopsida; Malpighiales; Salicaceae. The record is from RNAcentral.